This 460-nucleotide ribosomal RNA is filed under the name uncultured bacterium. RNAcentral describes it as "partial 16S ribosomal RNA". It matches the Rfam family "Bacterial small subunit ribosomal RNA", at positions 338 to 795 of the family's 1533-position model. The record is from RNAcentral.
CCUACGGUGUGCAGCAGUGAGGAAUAUUGGUCAAUGGCCGAGAGGCUGAACCAGCCAAGUCGCGUGAGGGCAGACGGCCCUACGGGUUGUAAACUGCUUUUGUACGAGGGUACAUCCCGAUACGUGUAUCGGGUUGAAAGUAUCGUACGACUCAGGAUCGGCUAACUCCGUGCCAGCAGCCGCGGUCAUACGGAGGAUUCAAUCGUUAUCCGGAUUUAUUGGGUUGAAAGGGUGCGUAGGCGGUUCGAUAAGUUAGAGGUGAAAUCCCGGGGCUCAACUCCGGCACUGCCUCUGAUACUGUCGGGCUAGAGUUUAGUUGCGGUAGGCGGAAUGUAUGGUGUAGCGGUGAAAUGCAUAGAGAUCAUACAGAACACCGAUUGCGAAGGCAGCUUACCAAACUACGACUGACGUUGAGGCACGAAAGCGUGGGGAGCAAACAGGAUUAGAUACCCCAGUAGUC